AAGUCUCAGUUCGGAUUGAAGGCUGAAAUUCGCCUUCAUGAAGCCGGAAUUGCUAGUAAUGGCAGGUCAGCAUACUGCCGUGAAUACGUUCCCGGGCCUUGUACACACCGCCCGUCACACCAUGAGAGUUGGGAAUACCCGAAGCCUGUGAGCUAACCGUAAGGGGGCAGCAGUCGAAGGUAGAAUCAAUGAUUGGGGUGAAGUCGUAACAAGGUACC
RNAcentral lists this ribosomal RNA (218 nucleotides) under uncultured bacterium. RNAcentral describes it as "partial 16S ribosomal RNA". It matches the Rfam family "Bacterial small subunit ribosomal RNA", at positions 1283 to 1500 of the family's 1533-position model. The record is from RNAcentral.